Molecule: ribosomal RNA, 425 nt
Filed under: uncultured bacterium
Lineage: Bacteria
Description: bacterial SSU rRNA
Rfam family: Bacterial small subunit ribosomal RNA
Source: RNAcentral
GGGGAAUUUUGGACAAUGGGGGCAACCCUGAUCCAGCCAUUCCGCGUGUGUGAUGAAGGCCUUCGGGUUGUAAAGCACUUUUGGCAGGAAAGAAAUGGCCCGGGUUAAUACCCUGGGUGGAUGACGGUACCUGCAGAAUAAGCACCGGCUAACUACGUGCCAGCAGCCGCGGUAAUACGUAGGGUGCAAGCGUUAAUCGGAAUUACUGGGCGUAAAGCGUGCGUAGGCGGUUCGGAAAGAAAGAUGUGAAAUCCCAGGGCUCAACCUUGGAAUGGCAUUUUUAACUCCCGAGCUAGAGUGUGUCAGAGGGGGGUGGAAUUCCGCGUGUAGCAGUGAAAUGCGUAGAGAUGCGGAGGAACACCGAUGGCGAAGGCAGCCCCCUGGGAUAACACUGACGCUCAGGCACGAAAGCGUGGGGAGCAAAC